Aedes albopictus (Asian tiger mosquito) is the source of this 3756-nucleotide long non-coding RNA. RefSeq lists it as uncharacterized. NCBI's taxonomy places the organism in Eukaryota, Metazoa, Arthropoda, Insecta, Diptera, Culicidae. The transcript is spliced from 3 exons. The record is from RefSeq and is a predicted model, not a curated record.
UUUGAGAUUUGUAGGGUAAUUCAUGUAUUUUGGACAGGCUGAGGACAACGUUGGAAAAAUCGUCCCCUAGCUUCCUUAGAAAGCAAUUGAUUAUUUUGCAAAGUUACUAAUACGCUUAUAAUAUGAUUGUACUUUGCGUUCCUGGUGUCAUAAUCCUUAACGAAAGCAUUUCAAGCUGAGAAAAUCACAAUUUCCAAUCACCUGUAAGAAUUGCAUUUUGGACACCGAAUAUAUGUUUUGGACACCCGCAGGUAUAUAUAAUUUGGACAGGGCAAUUAUCUCAAUGUUUAGCCAUGUGUACUGCUAAAUCAUGGAAGUAGCAUAAAUUAACAAAUAUUUUCUUGCAAAUAAUUAAAUUUCUCCGCUUAACAGGCAUAUAUUUCGAUAACUAUUACAGUUUUUUUUAAAUCGAGAAAAUAUCGCCAGACCCACAGAAUACGCCUCCAAGUAUGCAAUCGCACAGCAUCCCCAUGUAGUUCGUCAGAUGACCAAAAUAUAUUUACAGUAGAAAACUUGCAAUGUAUUUUGAACACCACCUAUUUUAGGCGUUUAAGAUAAAUGUUAAGAGCUUGGCUGCCCAAUGCCUCUUUAUUGAACAGUUUUCAUUGCAAUAAGGCUUUUAAAUUUCUUACAACUAUCAAUUCAACGAUUUUGAGGUGAAUAUUGUAUGUGACUUUGAACUGUAUGUCGUCUUGCAUACCUGUGCAUUUGAGGGGUUUUAGUGAAACAUUUUACGUUUUCGAUAAUUUUGAAGUAAAUUCUUAAUUGUUAAGCGUAUUUUCAACGUAAGUCAUCAGAAAAGGGUCUGUUUGAUCCAAUAAUCGAUGUUCAGAAGUAUCUACUUUUAUCAGCUCUCCGGAACAAGACAUACAUUGCAGUGCGUGUCCAAAUUAUAUACAUGUCCAAAUUAUAUUUUUUACCCUAGAUGUGCCCUUAGAAACUCGUUAGUUCAUAAGAAUGUUUGUAAACACUCCGAUAAUGAAUAAAACAAAUGUUCCGCCAAGAACAAAUUAAGCACCUCUGCUAAUGCCUACCAUCAUCGCCUCGCAAUCCAACAACUCGAGUGCGUAUCAAUCAACCACCGCAUACCACACACAUAAGGAACGCCGGUCGGAUCACACUCACGCAGUCGUCAAUCCGAGUGUUGAGUAUCGGGAGAGGAGAGGAAAACGAUAAAAGAGCCGAAGCGGAGCCCGUCGAUCGUCUUGCCGCAGCCUACGAGCAUCGCGCAUCGAGAGAAAGCGAUUCACUGCCGGUGAGUUAGCGGUUGUCUUCGUAACUACCACUACCACAACAGACUGCCAGACGGAGGGUGCUGGUCGCGCGAUCCCUCUCAUCGCCAGCAGUCGGCACGAAUCCAUCAGUCGGUACGGUAGUGAAACCGGAGCUCUAGUUACUCCGACGCCGGGAAAGCACAAAGUGACUGCAUAGUGAAAAAUUCGCUGUGGAAAGAGAUAAACGUGAAACGCAAAAGGCCAAAUUAACCAUCGAGUGGCCAAUCGACGUGGUGAGUUCUUGGUUUUGCGAUCAGAAGUGUGAUAGUGAUUAACGGGAUUUCUCCACCAUCCAGACCGACGCUACUGCAGCCAACAAAAGGAGGCGGCCAUUUUGCACGUCCAUCUUUGCCAAGCCACACGUUCUGGGAAAGCCGCACAUCGUUGGGCGAAUUUCGUACGCAUCCGAACGUGAUUUGUAUUAUUUUCCUGCGGUUUGACAGCCCGUAUACCCGGUGGCGGCACUGUGGCCGUGCAGCUGGCAGAUUACCCACCGUGCACGUGAUACAUUGGUCAUCGUUGCUAGACGCAGAGAACCAAUUUCAACAACCGUCCGACGAAACUUCGCACACGAUCAAACGAGCAAAGCAGGGUCAGCAGGAGGCAAAAGCUUCAUCUGGGCCACAACCAUCCAGAAAUUCCGAGAAGACAGGAACAAAGAGCCUUCACCAAAGAAGGCUCUUUUUUCUCGUUCCAGUUUCGUCAACAUCAAUCAGGCAGACCGAGCGGGGGUGACCACCGACGUCGGCGCACCGUCGACCUUGAGACGACCUCGGUGGCUUUCGGCGGGACGCGGUAGCCAGCUUCCCGGCGCGGGAGCGAAGGGCUCGAAGGCAGCAACGAUCGCAUCGGUAAUCGGAGGAGCGGAUUGGUGAGCGAGUUGGCGCCAAUCAUGAAUCGUACCGUAGGGUCGGCCGGGAACACGCAUCCGGCAGGCGAGGAGGCCCGAGUGAGCGGUCGAGGUUUGUGAUCGGUGGCGAUGCGUGAGUAGAACUAUGAGACAAAUGUUAGUUUCUAAGUAAGAAUAAACAGCUAGGACGUAGAGAGAGGAUUAGGCGUUUAGGUGGCACAAUGAUAGGAGCCAAAUAAAGAUGUUGUCUAAAUGAAUAAGCUUUGAGUUGGUGCUUUGAUUGCCGUGUUUGUGCCCGAAUUACCCUGCUAUACGGUAGUCUUGCUCUACUGGUCGGGAAGUUUGCAACAAUCUUGAGCCGUUAUCCGUGUUUUGUUUUUCCUUCUUUUGUUUUGUUUUAUUCUCAUGUGUAAGCUUCCACUGCCCAUGUGUCGGUAACACAGUGCUCUGUAUAGUCCAGUUUCAUAUUCAGAGAGAAUCGCUCAAAAUAUUUCGCAACCGUGUCCUGGAAAACUUCCUGCAGGGACUGUCACUUCUGAACAACUACAUACCUACGUACUGAUUGAAAAAAAAAACACGACUUUUUUUCUGAACAUCCAGAUAAACCGAGAAAUUCCCUUUGAUUUCAAAAUCACACACGUAUGUGAAAGUUUACUCGGUGUAAACGCUUUAGCUUCAAUGCUAUUUAACUGAUGGUCCGCUGAGUGCAACAGUUUUGCAGUUAUCGAACCGCUAUCCGUCACAAUAAAAUGUCAACCGUGAUGCGACGUCUUCCGCAUGCACUUUUCCUGCAGUGCGAUGUUUUCCGACUGCACAUAUGAUGCAUUCUGCAGCAACUGCCACCUUUAUGACGUCUGUCAAUUCUUGCCGUUAUCGAAUUUCAUUCGGUAAUUAAACGUUGCAUGUUGCAGAUAUCAAAUGUCUACAGUACGCCAUUUGCUCCAGGAGCGAACAUUUAUUUUACUUUACCUUUACACGGUUGCCACAUUAGUCUUAACGCCUUCACUGUAGCAUAAACUAGUGAGAACAUUUCAAUACAUUCUAAACUACAGCUGCUUGUUGGCAUUUUUGAAAGGAUGAAUUUGUUUAUAUGCCUAGUAACCAUUCUGUUUGUACCGUUCUUCAAGAGCUAUGCAAUGCCGAUCAAUUUGUUACGCUCUCCGGGAGCCGCGCUGUGCCAUGCACUAGCCGCUUUUUUCUAGGUUACGGUCUCCGAGACCACCUCUCUUUUACGCUCUCCGGGAGCUACGAUGUGCUUCGCACCAGCCGUCUCAAUAAUCUCGGCCUCCAGGGCCAUCAAUUUGAUUUCGCUCUCCGGGAACUAUGCUGCGUUCUGCGCCAGCCAUUUGAUUUAUUUUUCAAUAGCACGAUACGUAUUUGCAGCCUUAACUUCUCGCUAGACAUCGGGGAAAAAUGCUUGUUGCCAUAUGUGUGAAAAUUAAUAACUUUUUCACACUCUCUUUGUCUCAUACAAAAAUCGUCAAGAACCGCGCCAAAAAUCCAACCAAUUACACCAGCUUGUUGUUUCAGCCAUUUUUUCACUAACGUCUGGCACACUCUGUAAGCUGAAAUUUCGUUUUGUUAUCUCUCGCCGUUUCAUCAUACCAUACAAUUCCGUUAUAUUCGAUUCGU